GAUGAACGCUGGCGGCGUGCCUAAUACAUGCAAGUCGAGCGAAUGGACGAGAAGCUUGCUUCUCUGAUGUUAGCGGCGGACGGGUGAGUCAUACGUGGAUAACCUAUCUAUAAGACUGGGAUAACUUCGGGAAACCGUAGCUAAUACCGGAUAAUAUUUUGAACCGCAUGGUUCAAAAGUGAAAGACGGUCUUGCUGUCACUUAUAGAUGGAUCCGCGCUGCAUUAGCUAGUUGGUACGGUAACGGCUUACCAAGGCAACGAUGCAUAGCCGACCUGAGAGGGUGAUCGGCCACACUGGAACUGAGACACGGUCCAGACUCCUACGGGAGGCAGCAGUAGGGAAUCUUCCGCAAUGGGCGAAAGCCUGACGGAGCAACGCCGCGUGAGUGAUGAAGGUCUUCGGAUCGUAAAACUCUGUUAUUAGGGAGGAACAUAUGUGUGAGUAACUGUGCACAUCUUGACGGUACCUAAUCAGAAAGCCACGGCUAACUACGUG
This 497-nucleotide ribosomal RNA is filed under the name uncultured bacterium. RNAcentral describes it as "partial 16S ribosomal RNA". It matches the Rfam family "Bacterial small subunit ribosomal RNA", at positions 28 to 507 of the family's 1533-position model. The record is from RNAcentral.